This 774-nucleotide ribosomal RNA is filed under the name uncultured Neocallimastigales. RNAcentral describes it as "partial large subunit ribosomal RNA". It matches the Rfam family "Eukaryotic large subunit ribosomal RNA", at positions 24 to 635 of the family's 3401-position model. The record is from RNAcentral. Lineage: Eukaryota; Fungi; Neocallimastigomycota; Neocallimastigomycetes; Neocallimastigales.
UAUGUGAUCGUCUCUCGCAUAUCAAUAAGCGGAGGAAAAGAAACUAACAAGGAUUCCCCUAGUAACGGCGAGUGAAGCGGGAAGAGCUCAAAUUUGAAAUCUUAAAGGGUUUCCCUUUACGAAUUGUAGUUUAAAGAAGUGUUUUCUGUUGAGGUUUUGGUAAAAGUUCUUUGGAAUAGGACAUCAUAGAGGGUGAGAAUCCCGUAUUUGACCUUUACUUUCAACUUUGUGAUACACUUUCAAAGAGUCGGAUUGUUUGGGAAUGCAGUCCAAAAUGGGUGGUAAAUUUCAUCUAAAGCUAAAUAUUGGCGAGAGACCGAUAGCGAACAAGUACCGUGAGGGAAAGAUGAAAAGAACUUUGAAAAGAGAGUUAAACAGUACGUGAAAUUGUCAAAAGGGAAGCGUUUGACACCAGUGUUGUUUUUCUGAAAAUCAAUUAAAGAACUGUUUAUGCUAAGCUGUUUAGACUUUAUCAGCUAACUGUUUAGUUUUGAGCUUUUCUUUAAUGCACUUUUCAGUUAACAAGUCAACAUCAAUUUCUUUUGCUGUAAAAAAGCUUGAGGAAGGUGGCUUGAGAUUCGUCUUAAGUGUUUAUAGCCUCUUGCCUAUGCAGUCGGAGAGAUAGAGGUCUGCAGCGUAGAUCCUUCGGGGCUAAAUGCAUUUGUGCUAAGUUAUAGCAUUUUAUAGACAACUUGUUGACUAUGAUUUGUCUUGUAGCUUACUCGCUUAUGUUAUUUUACCUACGCUUAGGAUGUUGAUCUACAGAGCGAGAGU